This 4398-nucleotide small RNA is filed under the name Rattus norvegicus (Norway rat). RNAcentral describes it as "uncharacterized LOC108352130". Lineage: Eukaryota; Metazoa; Chordata; Mammalia; Rodentia; Muridae. The record is from RNAcentral.
CAAACUUUUUUUUUUCCCCUUCUGGAGACUUUCAGCUCUAAAAUCCAGAGUCUACAAUCUCACUGCAACAAAUUAAGGAAACAUACUUUUCCCCCUCAAAGCCAAGACUGUAAUCUUUGGAUUGACUCAUCUUAGUUCAACUCCAAGAUAUAAACCACCAGAAACUGAGAAGAGGUCUUUUUUGCGUUUUGACUUUAGGAACUAUUUUGAGACAGGAUGUCAUUCUAUGGCCCAGACUGACCUCAAAUUCUCUGUGACCUUCCUCGGCCUCCCAUAGUGCUACAGGUGUGAGCCUCCAGGCAAAGAAUUCCUUUCAUUAGAAUUCUUGCUUCUAAACCAUCAAGUUUUAAACUGUGGUGAUUCCUGAACUAAAAAGUACAAGGAAGUAGGUUUCAAAGUGUAAAGGCCAGGAGAGGUGUGGUGAGGCACGCCUGUGACCUCAGCUCUGGAAGGAGGCUGAGGCCAGAGAAUUGAGUUCACCCUGGUGUACAUAAUGGGUUCUAGGCCAGCCUCGGCUACAAUUUCAGACCCUGUUCCAAAAACAACAAAAAACUAAGUGGAGUCCGUUGUGAGGGGACCUAAAAGAAGCGGUGCUUAAUACCCGUAAGUUAAAUCCCUAAAUUUUUUUAUCAGUAGUGGAAUGCUAAGCACUUUGCCCAGUGGCCGCAAGUUUGGAGAGGGUUAAUACCAAUCUUUCACCGUCCUGCACAGGUUUAUGGAAUUGCUGGACUCCGUUCCUGUUUUCUCCAUUUUUUGAAGGGCAUCCCUAUGGAGUGAAAAAGCAUUUGGCAAACCAUUUUACCUGCCUGUGUCUUGGUUUUCCCAGUCACCACACCCGCCUCCACCACAUCCCCCAAAUAAGGAAGCAAGAGUAGCUCAUCUUUCCGGUCUCUCUCUCUCUCUCUCUUUUUUUUCUGACAGCGAGGCUGCUGACAGGGGGCAGAACUUGGUAGUAAAAAAAAAAAGCGAAUGUUUGUCUUGGCUUCUCUCCAGGGAGAGGAUUCUCCCGGGUGGCUUUCCGAGGCGCUCAGAAAGGUAAAUAAAAACUGGAGUUCCGUGGACGACAUUAGCCUAGUCCCACACGGCACCGAAGGGAGACCACGGCCAUGCUCGCCACCUUGGAGGUUAGGACACCAAUCAGUACGGAGCCAAAAGUUUCUGCCGAAGCUUUGUGGGGCUCAGAGCGCUUUCGGCCAGCAGCCCUGUGGUCCGUUCCGGCACGCCUGAGGGAGUCCCAGUCUACUAGUCCUCUCCAAGGACGGAUAUACCCAACUGCUUUUUUCAGUUCCCUUUACAAUAUGGUCACAACUCAAAUUUGUGUGUGUGUGUUUAAUUAUUUCUAUCCCCCUCCCCCCCACUUUCAGACCGCCCCGCCAAAAUUUUCAGUCUGUCCUUCCCACUCCACGUGGACCUCCCUUCCCUGUCCCAGCAACCCCUGCGAGAGCCACCCCUAACACGUGGUCAAUUGUUGUGUUUCCUUCCUCAGGCUCCCACUUAGCAAGCAUCCGUUAGCCACUGAACAAAGGUGCCCUCUUGAGGAUGACUUUGGGGCAGCAGCCUAGGUUAUUGAGCGCUUAGAAACUAUGCAAUAAUGCUGCUUCAGCUUAAAAUGACUUCAUACCGCAUACUUCUCUGGUUAAUGACCUUAAGGAUUGGGGCUGGCGUUGCAGAGCAGUCAGAGGGCAAAGGCAGGGGAAUCUUCUGAGUUCGAUGUCAGCCUGGCUUACAUAGCAAGUUCCAGACCAACCAAAACAACAAAAUAAGUAACUUUAAGGAUUGCACAGAAGAGAAGUCAGACUUCAUGGUGUUGGGUCACGGGCACAGCACCUCUCUGCAUUGAAUGGACCGUUCCUAAAUGGCCUCCUUAACAACACUGGUCCCAGGUAAAGCGGACAUGAAUCUCCUUUACUGAUCUGAGAAUCAUCGCCUCAGUGAAUCCCAGCUCCUAACCUCAAUGUUCACACAGAAGACCUGCUUGGUUUCAAUUUUAUACAGGAGGAAGGAAGAGGGGAGAAUUCCGAGCAUCCUAAAUUUGUCCGCCACACAAGACAAGGGUAAGCAGGUCAAUCUCGGACUGGUUAUCUGUGCUCUCUUUAUUUAGUUCCUUGACUCCAUCCUUAUUGAAAGUCACUUCCCCCCAAACAUGUUUUGCUACAGCGAGGGAGCACUAGGAAUUUCCUGUGGCUAGGCAGCCCAGUGCCGGCAGGGGUGGAGGCAGAGCUAGGCAAUCCAGUCCUUCCCUUGGCUCGGGCAGGGCCACGUGCCCCACCCCCUCGCUUGCACAUGUCUCCGCCGCCACCGCCGCAACAGCCGGGCUGUUUAUGAGCGAGUUGUUGUGGUAGAAAUGGAGCAGGCUGCACAUGCCCGGGCCAUGUGACCCGGGCAGCCCGCGUGAGCUUCAAGACAGCACAAACACACUCGGCCCUGUCCUCCAGUGGCCGGAGGAACAGGCGGGAAGGAAGGGGGAAGAAGGGAAAGGCCACUGGGCCGUCUUGUUAUCUGCUGCCCUGUUUUCUGCUUAUGUCCUUUUUGUCUCUUUGCUGAGACGCUGAUAGCACAGUCAACAGCAAGUAAGCCUGGUUUCUCCAGGAUGCUCACUCCCCAAACAGCUCUUUGGCAUUUGCACCCACCCAGAGCCCAAAUCCCCCAAAUAACAAAGGGUCUCUCCAGGUCAGGAACACAGUAUAUCUCACCCCAGUCUCCUUAAGAUGUAUCGUCCCAUAGUCUCCAAGCUGAGACCUGGCUUUUCCUGGAGCCUGGGCUCCCCCCAACCAGGCUUCCCUUAUCCCCUCUUUCUAGGAAGGACGAUGUCACACAUUAGUGCAGCUAGUGCCCACUCCAAGAUUAGAACAAGGAGAAUUCAGCGAUUUACGAGCCGGGGACAGGAAGCUAAGAAUGUGUUUGCAGCGGGGGGUCUGUGGGUCCGGUGGAUCGGACGGGGAAGUCCCUUUGGUGGUGAGGAGGAGCUGGAGACCUAGAAAGGCUGUCACACCCGACUUCUGAAGAACAAGCAACGGGGGUAAAAGACAAGUUUAGCUUUCAUCCCUCACUAAAACGCCCCCCCCCCGCUUACGGCUCACAGGGACUGGGACCCCAGAGCCCCUACUUCCAGCCCACAGCUCCUGCCCCCUUGCCCACUGGUGACCUUGUUUCUGCACUGCAGUGCUAAGACUGCAGGAGUCAGGCGGACAGUAGGUUAGCAGGAACAAGCAAAUGAAAUGAGAGCGACCCACAUUUCCUCACACACCGAAAAACUUUGCAGCUUCUGCAUUGCAGAGCCGGUGCUUUUUAUUUAUUUAGUUAUUUAUUUAUUUUUUCAAAUCUCUCCACUGGGCCCCUACACACGUCUGCAUUUUUGCAACCCGCACAGAUUUUUUUUCCCCCUCCAGGGUGCAAACUGUGCAUUCUAAUGAGCCAAAGCUCCUUCCUGCCGCAUUGAAAAUUUCAUCAAAUCCUGUCCCCUCCCCCCACUUAGAAGAGUGGGAAGGAUCCUAAAUUUGUGAAGUAGCAUCUUCUCCCUCCUUCCCCUGACUCCCUUCCCCUCAUCAUACUGCAGACCUUCCAACCAACAGCUGCAACCAAGGGAGGAGGACCAGGAACGUGAGCCUUAUUCCUUCCUUCCUUCCACACAAGCUGAGCUAGCCAGGCAGGGGUUGCUUUCUUUUUUUUGUUUUUUUAUUUCCACCACCACCACCCUCCCCCCGCAGCCCACUACACCCUCCUUUCCCUCCGCAUCCCAGCCAGUGUUUAUGUAAGCCUCCCAGAAGCUACACAUGGCCCCCAGUGCUUGCCCAGGCCCCAGUUUCUCCAAAGUCCAUCCUUCUCACGAGGACUGUCAUGAGCUUCUGGCUUCCCUAAGCAGCUGCACAGAGAUCUGCCCAAAGAAGAGGAGACGCUGGAUCCGGAGAGGGUUUGAGGUGCAGCUUAGAAUGGAGAUGAGAAAGGCACAGAGACACCCUGCCUCCUCAUGCAUAUACACACCACAGGCUUCUCUGCACCUUAAUCCACAGGAUAGGCACGCAGCAGGGGCUUAGAAGACAGUAUCACCAGUGGGCUACAGGAAUAGUAUAGCAGGACAGGAGACAUCAGUAUGACAUGCUAGAUACUACGGUCUCCCUAGGUCUCCCUAGCUAGAAAGACGGACUCUUUACCAGAUAAAGGGUCAGCCGGUGUUUAUCUUACACUGCCAAGGACACUCUAUGCCACUUACAGGAUCCUGUGAUGUGACUUAGAUUCUGGGCUCAGAAGAGGUGACCCUCCUCUGAGUUCCCAGAGCAUUAAGGUAUCGUUGAUCCUGGAUGGUGGCUUUAAAGGUACACAUUUCUCAGGCAGGUAAAUGGGAGAGCCAGAUCAUCUUUCCUUUAGGGUCACGUCACAACUUCUGUCUUAAAUGUCCAG